UAUAACCCAAGUCCGUGAUCGUCUUUUUCAAAGCAUCGGCGUUGGUCACGCUUGGAUCAAUCUGAGCCUUGACCUUGCUACUGUUAAACAAGGCUUUCACUGUUUUGACACCGGCUUGCUGGCCUAAUGCGCCUUCAAUUUUCUGCAAACAGCUUGGGCAAGUUAAACCAUCUAAUUGAUAAACUAAUUUUGUCAUGUUAAAAAUCCUUUCUUGUUUAUUUACCUUCAUUAUUAACGGUUUGUGCUGCGGCGUCCUUGAUCGUCGUCAAGUUUUGUAACUUUCGGGGGGUGUGCCGUAACCGUAAGGCAUUCGCGAUGACCAACAGAAUCGAAAUUUCGUGGAACAGCAUCCCGCUGGCCAUAUCAACUAACCCAAUGAGCAAGCCGCUUAACAAUAAGGCAACAGUUCCGAUCGCAAUGACAAGAUUCUGUUUGAUAUUAUUGUCCAUCCGUUUAGCCAGAUCGAAAAGAACGCCGAGAUUCGUCAGGCGACUGCUGGUUAAAAUGACAUCAGCAGUAUCAAUGGCCACAUCCAUCCCUGAGCCCAUGGCUACCCCAACAUCUGCUUGCGCCAGUGCAGGCCCGUCGUUGAUCCCGUCACCGACAAACAUCACCUUUUCACCAUGCGCUUGCGCUGCCUUGAUCGCCGUGACCUUGUCGACUGGUAGUAAACCGCCGUGGGUCUGGCUCAGUGGCAAAUCCGCCAUCAUGUGUUCAACCGCAGCCUGCGAGUCGCCUGAAAGCACAACCGUCUUUUUACCGUUAGCUUGAAGGGUCGCCAACAUGCCUGGGGUAUCGGUCCGCAACUGAUCGCGUAAGCCGUAAACUGCAGCAAGUUUGCCGUCAAUCGUCGCCACGACCAACGAAGCACCGCUUUUAAUUACGUUUUGAAUAGCGGCUUGCUGAGCGGUAGUCAGCGGCUGCGUCAGACUCUUUUGAUUCCCAAUGCUAACGGUAUGGUCAGCCACUUGCGCCUGCACGCCAAUUCCCCGCGUGACUUUCACGUCGGUCACAGACGGUGUUGUUUGCGGCUUUAGGUAGGCGACCAAUGCCUGCCCCAACGGAUGCGCCGUUGCAUGCUCGACUGCCGCCACCAGGUCAGCAACUUUGGCGUCAUCGUUCGCCCAAUAUUGAGCCGUUGCAACGCUGAUUUUACCUUGGGUUAAGGUGCCGGUUUUAUCAAACAUAACCGUGUCAAUCUGAUCCAAUUUGGUGGCCACAUCCCCGCCUUUGAUCAAAAUGCCGUGCUUCGCGCCAAAGCCUAAGCCGACAACAUUGCUGACGGGGGCGCCAAUCACCAAUGCACCAGGGCAGCCUAAUACCAAAAUCGUAAUGGCUAGUCGGACAUUUUGGCUGAUCAAACCAACGAGCAAAGCAAUGAUCAAUACCAGCGGCGUAUACCACCGCGCAAACUUCUGGAUAAAAGUGGCGACUGGUGACUGUGCGUCCUGCGCAUCCUCAAUCAAAUCAAUGAUCUGUUGAUAAACCGUGUUGUAGCCGGUUUUCUCAACUUCAAUAGCCACCGUACCAUCACUCACCUGCGUGCCGGAAUAAACCGUUGCGCCGGCCUGCUUGCUUUUUGCAUCCGGCUCACCAGUGAUCGCGGCUUCAACAACAUUCGCCUGCCCACUGAUCACUUUGCCAUCAGCUGGUACCGUUUCGCCGGCCAGUACACGGACUUGAUCACCAACUGCCAAGUCACCAACCGGAAUCAUGGUGCCAUCCAGUCGCCGCGCGGUUUUCGGUGCCGCAGCCGCCAAGCCUUGAAUCGCCGAACGCGUCUUCGCCAAACUGCGCUGCUCUAACCAGUCACCGAAUAAAAAUAGAAAACUGACCACAGCACUUUCAACCGGCUCACCAAUCAACACCGCGCCAACCAGGGCAAUCGUCACCAGCAACUCAAUACUAAUCUGCUUAUACCGCAGCGCCGCCAAUGCAUUGAUCGCAAUCGGCAAGCCCGCCACCAAACUCGCCAACACCAGCACCCAUGCCUGACUAAAAAUCAGACCGCCUGCUGUCAGCACACCGCCAGCAAUCAUCGCUUCUUGUUUAUGCGUCUGAAUAAAAUGCAUCGCUAAUCCCUCCAUUUGAGACCAGUGUACCGAGGGAUGAAAAAAGCUGCCUUGACGGUGAUCAACUUUAGGGAUUUGCGACAUGAUUAUUCUGGAACUGGCAUGUUUAUGACGAAAAAAGCUGAAAACACGACGUUUAUUUUUAAACUGAUGAAACAUCAUCAGUUUCAGUUACAAUUAAUUUGCUUAGUCUUGAAGGUAUCUUGGUUGUUGGGGGCUUAAUUGCUGUCUUAUCGAAUUUCCUGUAAGAUUUCAUUCGUAUACAUAACAGAUAUUUGAGUAGUGGUCUUCUAGUAUGACCAAUCCUCAGCCAUGAUGAUGCGUUAAUUGGGAGAUGAUACUAAAAUGAAUAGCGAUAAAAAAGUUUGGGGUGCAUUGCUGAUAGUGCUCUUUAACCGUAGCAUCUUCAGAUAUAUCGAAGCUCUCUGGACGAACAAUAUGAU
This 2515-nucleotide ribosomal RNA is filed under the name Lacticaseibacillus paracasei. Its description in RNAcentral is "Lactobacillus paracasei 23S ribosomal RNA". Lineage: Bacteria; Bacillati; Bacillota; Bacilli; Lactobacillales; Lactobacillaceae. The record is from RNAcentral.